RNAcentral lists this ribosomal RNA (492 nucleotides) under uncultured bacterium. RNAcentral's name for it is "partial 16S ribosomal RNA". It matches the Rfam family "Bacterial small subunit ribosomal RNA", at positions 29 to 507 of the family's 1533-position model. The record is from RNAcentral.
AGUGAACGCUGGCGGUAGGCCUAACACAUGCAAGUCGAACGGCAGCACAGUAAGAGCUUGCUCUUACGGGUGGCGAGUGGCGGACGGGUGAGGAAUACAUCGGAAUCUACUUUUUCGUGGGGGAUAACGUAGGGAAACUUACGCUAAUACCGCAUACGACCUACGGGAGAAAGCAGGGGAUCUUCGGACCUUGCGCGAUUGAAUGAGCCGAUGUCGGAUUAGCUAGUUGGCGGGGUAAAGGCCCACCAAGGCGACGAUCCGUAGCUGGUCUGAGAGGAUGAUCAGCCACACUGGAACUGAGACACGGUCCAGACUCCUACGGGAGGCAGCAGUGGGGAAUAUUGGACAAUGGGCGCAAGCCUGAUCCAGCCAUACCGCGUGGGUGUAGAAGGCCUUCGGGUUGUAAAGCCCUUUUGUUGGGAAAGAAAAGCAGCAGGUUAAUACCCCGCUGUUCUGACGGUACCCAAAGAAUAAGCACCGGCUAACUUCGUG